This 227-nucleotide ribosomal RNA is filed under the name uncultured bacterium. RNAcentral describes it as "partial 16S ribosomal RNA". It matches the Rfam family "Bacterial small subunit ribosomal RNA", at positions 1274 to 1500 of the family's 1533-position model. The record is from RNAcentral.
UCUUAAAGCCGUUCUCAGUUCGGAUUGUAGGCUGCAACUCGCCUACAUGAAGUCGGAAUCGCUAGUAAUCGCGGAUCAGCAUGCCGCGGUGAAUACGUUCCCGGGCCUUGUACACACCGCCCGUCACACCAUGAGAGUUGGAAAUACCCGAAGCCUGUGAGCUAACUGUAAAGAGGCAGCAGUCGAAGGUAGAGCCAAUGAUUGGGGUGAAGUCGUAACAAGGUAAC